UGCUCAACUCCUGAUGCAUGGAGAAAAAACCUUCACAAGCCUCUGCUAAUGUGUAUAUAGUUUAUACUAAGUGACCCAUAGGUUGAGGAGGCCUUGACCGUGGUUGUGGAGGAGGAGAAUGAGGUAGCCAACACUGUUUUAUAAUAUAUAUAAAAAAAGACAACUCUGUUCCGCAGAGUAGCUGUUGACAUUAUAGCUGCACAGGCACUUUGUUGACUCUAGAGAAACUCUGGCCAAUCGCACAUCCCCGUGGCAGCGACUUUGCAUGCGGAUGUCAUCCAUAUCAACUUUCAAUGCCAGUUUCUGCGCCUACCAUGGUGACCACGGGUAACGGGAAUCAGGGUUCAAUUCCGUACAGGGACCCUGAGAAACGGCUGCCACAUGCAAGGAAGGCAGCAGGCCACUCUCGACGCGGGAAGGUAGUGACGACAAAUAACAAUACAGGACUCUUUAGAGGCCCUGUAAUUGUAAUGAGUCCACUUGAAAUCCUUUAACUCUGAUCAAUUGGAGGGAAGUCUGGUGCAGAGCCACUGACCCGUGCGUGCUGCAGCUGAAACUCCACUAUCA
Pelobates cultripes (western spadefoot toad) is the source of this 567-nucleotide non-coding RNA. Lineage: Eukaryota; Metazoa; Chordata; Amphibia; Anura; Pelobatidae. The record is from the annotation of a GenBank genome assembly.